AUCUAGCCCCGAUAGAAAUGGAAAUCCUUUUAUGCCGGCGUUCGGCAUAAAAGAUUGAAAUGUAUAGCGGGACAAGUG
Flavobacteriaceae bacterium CRH is the source of this 78-nucleotide non-coding RNA. The record is from Rfam. Lineage: Bacteria; Pseudomonadati; Bacteroidota; Flavobacteriia; Flavobacteriales; Flavobacteriaceae.